Molecule: ribosomal RNA, 657 nt
Filed under: Clostridioides difficile
Lineage: Bacteria; Bacillati; Bacillota; Clostridia; Peptostreptococcales; Peptostreptococcaceae
Description: partial 23S ribosomal RNA
Rfam family: Bacterial large subunit ribosomal RNA
Source: RNAcentral
UGUGAUGGGGAGCGAAAUUUAGUAGCGAAGUAGCUGAUUUCACACUGUCAAGAAAAGUCUCUAUCGAGGUUAAAGGUACCCGUACCGCAAACCGACACAGGUGGGUGAGGAGAGUAUCCUAAGGCCAGCGAGAGAACUGUUGUUAAGGAACUCGGCAAAAUGACCCCGUAACUUAGGGAUAAGGGGUGCCACCAUCAGGUGGCCGCAGAGAAUAGGCCCAAGCGACUGUUUACCAAAAACAUAGGUUUCUGCUAAGUCGCAAGACGAUGUAUAGGAGCUGACGCCUGCCCGGUGCUGGAAGGUUAAGGGGAUCUGUUAGAGCAAUCGAAGCAGUGAACUUAAGCCCCAGUAAACGGCGGCCGUAACUAUAACGGUCCUAAGGUAGCGAAAUUCCUUGUCGGGUAAGUUCCGACCCGCACGAAAGGCGUAACGAUUUGGGCACUGUCUCAACAACAGACUCGGUGAAAUUGUAAUUCCGGUGAAGAUGCCGGAUACCUGCGACAGGACGGAAAGACCCCAUGGAGCUUUACUGUAGCUUGACAUUGGGUCUUGGUACUACAUGUACAGGAUAGGUGGGAGGCUUUGAAACCAGGACGCCAGUUUUGGCGGAGCCAUCCUUGGGAUACCACCCUUGUAGUACUGGGACUCUAACCAUAG